GCUGGGUGAGUCGACCCCUAAGGCGAGGCCGAAAGGCGUAGUCGAUGGGAAAAUGGUUAAUAUUCCAUUACUUCUGUGUAAUGCGAUGAGAGGACGGAGAAGGCUAAAUCAGCCUGGCGUUGGUUGUCCAGGUGAAAGGAUGUAGGCAUGUAUCUUAGGCAAAUCCGGGGUACUCUAUGCUGAGAUCUGAUAGCAAGCUGUACUUGUACAGCGAAGUGGUUGAUGCCAUGCUUCCAGGAAAAGUCUCUAAGCUUCAGUUACACAGGAAUCGUACCCGAAACCGACACAGGUGGUCAGGUCGAGUAGACCAAGGCGCUUGAGAGAACUCUGCUGAAGGAACUAGGCAAAAUGGUACCGUAACUUCGGGAGAAGGUACGCUGUUGUUGGUGAUGGAACUCGCUUCCUGAGCUGACGACAGCCGCAGAAACCAGGCCGCUGCAACUGUUUAUUAAAAACAUAGCACUCUGCAAACACGAAAGUGGACGUAUAGGGUGUGAUGCCUGCCCGGUGCUGGAAGGUUAAUUGAUGGGGUUAGCGUAAG
Molecule: ribosomal RNA, 541 nt
Filed under: Acinetobacter baumannii
Lineage: Bacteria; Pseudomonadati; Pseudomonadota; Gammaproteobacteria; Moraxellales; Moraxellaceae
Description: partial 23S ribosomal RNA
Rfam family: Bacterial large subunit ribosomal RNA
Source: RNAcentral